UACGUAGGGACCGAGCGUUGUCCGGAUUCAUUGGGCGUAAAGAGCUCGUAGGCGGCUGCUCAAGUCGAAUGUGAAAACUCGAGGCUCAACCUCGAGCCUGCAUUCGAUACUGGGCGGCUAGAGUCUGGUAGGGGGAUCUGGAAUUCCUGGUGUAGCGGUGGAAUGCGCAGAUAUCAGGAGGAACACCGGUGGCGAAGGCGGUUCUCUGGGCAUUACCUGACGCUGAGGAGCGAAAGUGUGGGGAGCGAACAGG
Molecule: ribosomal RNA, 253 nt
Filed under: uncultured bacterium
Lineage: Bacteria
Description: partial 16S ribosomal RNA
Rfam family: Bacterial small subunit ribosomal RNA
Source: RNAcentral